This 518-nucleotide unclassified non-coding RNA is filed under the name Hevea brasiliensis (rubber tree). The record is from RNAcentral. Lineage: Eukaryota; Viridiplantae; Streptophyta; Magnoliopsida; Malpighiales; Euphorbiaceae.
AUUCAUCUUCAUACAUCCAAGCUUAACCUUUCAAAUAAGUUAUUGUGCUCUAUAAUAAAUGAAACUCAGACAUUGUGUGUUAAGAAUAAAGAACAUGGAAAAAAUACAUAGCUAAAGCACUACAAUAACCAUUAUGAUAAGCACCAGAAAGCAGCCUGCAGAUAAAUAUCAUCGACAGAAACUCAGCUAUUGUUCUUCUUCCUUGCUUACCAAAAGUAAGGAAGUUGUUCGCAGGAUUUCGCGUACCAGCAACUAAGCUAGGCCUUAAAUAGUCUGGGCUAAAAGGACUCUCUACCGACGAUGCCCUGAAGGUGGCCUUCUAUUUCCUCCCCUCCUAAAAGCUGAGAACUGAUUUCCUGAAGAAUAUGGUUGAUAUCCUGUACCAUUUUGGUUCCGGGAGGCCCUUCCACCACCCUGUUGGUUAUAGCUUUCAGCCCCGCGAGGUUCAUAGCUCAUGGAAACGUCAUUUCCACUCUGCUGGUGGAAAAUGGUAGUUGGUGGAACUGGUAUUUGGCCCA